ACGGGUUGUUAAGAUAAUUCUCUUGGGACAGACUGUUAACAUAUCCUAAAUUGAGUAGCUGUCCAGCGAGCAGGCAAGAUUUGGUCCUGUGAUGCCAAGAUUUGUGUGGUAGUACACUCUAAAAAUUAGGGGUUCAACUGGAGUCCUUCUAAGAUCCUCGAAGAACCUUAAGGUUCUUGGCAAUGAAAAACAGCCCCCAAAAGGUUAUUUGAAGAACUUCUUAGGAGGUGGGUUCAUCGAGGAACCCCCAUUGUUGCUGGAGUUCUUCGGGGGAACUUCGCAACUGAAAACAUUCACGCCAAGUUUGAAUGCGACAACAGUUUAAAAAGAACAGAACAUGGACACAAUGCAAUUGGGAUCAAGAAGAAGGUAAGGAUUUGUUGUAGGACAGCUGCAUUUGAAGUGUACAUUUAACCUCCAUGGCAGUCAAAACAAACGGAACUCUAUUAGCAUACACGUGUGCAAAUGAUCUUUUCAGAUAUUCUCAAAUGAAUCAAAUCCAUAGAAUGGAUAUAGACAAAACGAAAAUGUAAAGGACUCCGUAAGGCUAGUGGCAAAAUGCUAGCAGAGUUAGAGGUGAGGCAGGGGUGAGGACAUCAUCCUGCUAUUUCGGCAGUCCCUGAAGGACAAUACAGAAGAGGCACACAGGUAUUUGCUCUUGUUCCUUACCUUUCUCUGUAGUCAAUACAUGGUACAUUAAAAAUAUGUAUUUUGUAAUAAAAUUAGCAAAUGUAGUAAGAUCAUUGCUUUACUAGGACUCGAGACCACAGCUCUUGCCCUUCUUCAAUGAGGACCCGAGUGGCCUUUGUCUGUGACAAGGUUUCACCGCUCCCAACUCCUUUACUGAACAUCGGUGGAAAUUAAUUUCACCAUGUGAGUGAAAUCACGCUGGCCUUUGCUGGGGAGAAAAUCCACGCCCAUGGGACUUGGGGCCCUGCUAGGGCUGUAUUUAAAAAAAUAUAUAUAUAUAUAUUUUCACUAACAUUUCCCAAAAAUGUCAAAACACAUGUUCUUAAGUUACUGUGUUCUGGGGAUAAGAGAAGUUGGGGUGAAGUUACAAGGGCUGGUCUUAAAGAUGGCAAACAUAACUAAGUGGUUGAUGGACACACACACUAAAGCAAAAAAAAAUCAGUAUUUAGCAUCAAGUCUACAAUAUUGUUAGUUUACCUAUGAUUUGUUUUUAUUGUACGUACAUUUAUGAAAAAAAUAUUGUAAUGAAAAGCUCUAUACAAAGUAAAUGUAUUAUUAUGGUCUGACAUCUGCAGAAUUUUGUUGUGUUUUGUAAAUAUUAAUUCACAUUUGUGGUGCCACUAAAUAAAAAAUUAUUUAAAUCAA
This is a long non-coding RNA of Oncorhynchus nerka (sockeye salmon), 1335 nucleotides long. RefSeq lists it as uncharacterized. Lineage: Eukaryota; Metazoa; Chordata; Actinopteri; Salmoniformes; Salmonidae. The transcript has 3 exons. The record is from RefSeq and is a predicted model, not a curated record.